This 253-nucleotide ribosomal RNA is filed under the name uncultured bacterium. RNAcentral describes it as "partial 16S ribosomal RNA". It matches the Rfam family "Bacterial small subunit ribosomal RNA", at positions 524 to 776 of the family's 1533-position model. The record is from RNAcentral.
UACAGAGGGUGCAAGCGUUGUUCGGAAUUAUUGGGCGUAAAGAGCUCGUAGGCGGUCUGUUGCGUCGAUUGUGAAAACCCGGGGCUCAACCCCGGGCCUGCAGUCGAUACGGGCAGACUAGAGUUCGGCAGGGGAGACUGGAAUUCCUGGUGUAGCGGUGAAAUGCGCAGAUAUCAGGAGGAACACCGGUGGCGAAGGCGGGUCUCUGGGCCGAUACUGACGCUGAGGAGCGAAAGCGUGGGGAGCGAACAGG